AUGGCUGCGUCUUCCUGUCACUGUGCUCCCCCACGGCCCACCCCGGCACAUUGUGCAGCACUACAUUCUGUGAGUCUCUUCCAUUUCACAGCAAAAUUUCUAAUGAUAAGGUUACACUGUGCAAUUAUGAUAUCUAAAUUCCAAUUUAAAAUAAUUGGUAUUUUCUAUCCCCCCCAGGGGGCGGGGCGCACAAGCUCCCAGAAACAAGAGAUCGUGGUAUAUUUUCGCCAGUCCUCCCCGGAGGACCUCAGCCUGGCUCCUGGGAGACAGAACAAGGCGAUUGACAUGAGUGCGAUUGCACUGGCUGCGCGUGCGGGCCAUUUGUGUACCUCAGAGAAGUACUUUCCUGCAGAAAGCAAACUGCAUUUUGUUUCAUACACUUUAGGGUUGUUUUCAUUUUUUUCAGAUUUAAUAUGAAUGAGAUCUCCCUCUAUACUUGUUUUCUAUUGCUGUUGUAAUAAAUUACUAUAAACACGGUGGCUUGAAAUAACA
Molecule: long non-coding RNA, 492 nt
Filed under: Vulpes vulpes (red fox)
Lineage: Eukaryota; Metazoa; Chordata; Mammalia; Carnivora; Canidae
Description: lncRNA (ENSVVUG00000015707.1)
Source: RNAcentral